RNAcentral lists this long non-coding RNA (2848 nucleotides) under Amborella trichopoda. Its description in RNAcentral is "long non-coding RNA (ATRI_LNC003050)". The record is from RNAcentral. Lineage: Eukaryota; Viridiplantae; Streptophyta; Magnoliopsida; Amborellales; Amborellaceae.
AGAGAGAGAGAGAGAGAGAGAGAGAGAAAGAGAGAGAGAUAUGGAAAUUUAUUAAAGUUGAACACAUUUCUAUUUCACCUAUAUUUUUAAGGGAAAAUGUUUACAUAAGGUUGCAACCUUAAAAUGUAGAAUUAAAUAUGCACCUCAAAAAUCCGCCAAAAAAUGUUGUUUUAAUGUUGAAAACCCUCUAAUUGAUCAUCUCGACAUCGAGAGGUAUGAAUAUGAAAAAAAAAAGAAGAGAUUUUACGUUCCAGAGUGCAUCUUGCAACACAUUUCUAGAUUGUCUAUUUUCAAGAUUUUCAUGUGCUUAUAUAUCUACUUACAUUUUUGGAGUUCAAAAUUUUAUAAUUAGAAAUGAAAUUAGAUUUUCAGAUAAUCUUAAGAAUAUUUUACACCAAAAUUACAUGUUAUGAUAAAAUUUGGAGGUGCGCCUUGAUUGGAUUGUUUAAGGUUGCAACCUUAUACAGACCACACCCAUUUUUUAUUAAAUUCCAAAAUACCAAAAAAAAAAAAAAAUGGUCUUCAGAUGAAAUACGAUACUAUUUUACAAUAUUAUAUCAUAUUCUAUUUUAUAUUUAUUUUAUUAAUAUAAUUUAUAUAUUUAUUUUAGUAAUGUAAUUUAUUUUAUUAAUGUAAUUUAUAUUAUAUAAUAUAUAUUGAUUACAUAUUAUAAAUAAUAUACAAUAUUAAUAUAUUUUAAUUAUAUAUUGAUCACUGAAAAAGUAUUGCUUCAGGUUCCUAAUCAUGUUCUCCGAAACCCAAUUAUGCUUAUAAUAUUUAUUUUUUUCCUUUUUUUAUGUGAUAUAAAAUAACAAUACAUGUAAAUUUUAAAUAUUUUUUACAAUUUUUUGGGAUUUUUUACCAAUAUUGUAUUUUUCAAAAAAUUUGGGGCACUAAUCAACCGAUCUAGUCGGAAUCGGUCGAACUAAUCGGAUCGGGCAAAGACCAACUAAUCCACCCAAUCAGUUGUUUUGAGUACUAGUUCUGAUAUCUUAUUUUCUGGAAAAUAUAUUGCUUGUAUUUAUUCGUACACUUUUUUAAAGGAAACUUAUUAAUAAAAAUUUUCAAUUUUUUUUUUUAAAAUUAAGUUUUUUAAUUUAGUCCCAUUGUUAAUACACUUAUCUUUCAACUAAAAUUUAAUAAUAUUAAGUUAAUGGAGAAAUAAAGUUAUAAGGGAGAAGUUUGUAAAAAGAUAAAAUACGGAUUUAUAUCAGUCCCACUAAAAAACUGUAAUUUUUCACAAAUCUUUUGAAAAACUAGGAAUUCUUAACAAAUUUAAAAAACUCGGACAUUUUUUGAAAAAAUGGUGUUUUAAAUGGAGUAUCAAUACACGCCUAAAGUCACAUAAUUAACCAAAGGAGCUCAGUGCUUCGUUUUUACUGUGGAGAUUACCUAGAUAAGUCGAUCUUUACGAGGAAAUUUUAUUAAGGCACACAAAAAAUUUUAACAUCUCAGGUGUUUUUUUAUACAAUUUCAAAAUGAGCUUUGUUGUUUUUAUAGAAUUUCCAAUUCCUUGUCAAAAGAUACGUAAUCACAAGUUAGAACAGUUGAAAUUUUAGGUUUGUUUUGGUAAAUAUUUAAAAUAUUAAAUAGUUGAUGGUUUAGGUAUAGUUUGGUAAAUUUUGAUACGAAAUUUCUAAGGAAAUGUUUACAAUGAAACCAUUUAUCUAUUAUACAAGAAAGUUACAAUCAUCGGUGACCGUUAUAUUUCAAAUCAAGUAGUUGAGGAUUUAUUACUGUUUGGGCACAAAGUCAAUAAUAAAUUAUAUAUCGAAUAUUGUGAUGCACUUUCAUCUAUUGGCUAAAAGUGAUUUUGUGCUCCUUGUAUCACAUUUGGUUCAUGAACAAUUUCAAACAAAGAUAAAAAGAAGACCAGUUUUAACUUAAAAUAUUGGAUUUGAUGAACAUUCAAUGGAUCUUUUUGGAGGGUAAAUUGAAUUGGAGCAUUCUUUGAGCUCCAAAAUAAUUUUUUCAUUUAAUUUUUUCUUUAAAUUGAUCUUAGAUAGUAACAUGGGACCUAGCGGGAAUUGGAAUUUAGAACGUCACAUUUUGGCACAAACCACCUCUGCCUCAAGCCCAUUCCAGACCAAUUACAUCUUUUUCCCUUAAUUUUAAAAUGAUAAAUAUCAAUUAAUCAUUUUUUAAAGCUGAAUUUUAUCAGGGAUUGUCUAUAAAAAGAUCAUUUAUCUGUUGUAUAUAGAGGUCACAAUCAUUCUUGUCACUUAAAUUUCAAAGUGGGUAGUUGCAAGAGUGUCAUUGAAUAAACAUAAAGUUCUAAAAAAAAUUCACAGACUUUGUGACUCACCCUAAGCUAUCCAAGUUGAAAUUUAAUAAGUAUGACUGAUUGUGACCUUUAUGUAUAAAAGAUAAAAUGUGUCUUUGUAAGCAAUUCUAGUUUGUUAUUUAGUGAUGAUUAGCAAAAAUGACUAAAUACCAUUUAUGCCUGAAAGCCACGUCCAUAUUUUGUAAGAUAUCAUUAUUCCUGAGCAAUCCAUUCUUGGCUCAUUAUAUAUUGAUAAAACUAGUUUCUUGAAAGGGACGAUACCUUUAGAAAAAUGGUGGUGAGCAGGGGAGCAACUUUAUCUUUACAAAUCAUGGGAGUACUAUGUUUUAUAGUCACAGUUCAUGGGCAAGGCCAAGGAGGUAUGUAUCUAUUCAAACUACACAGCUAUUUGUAUAUGGGGAAGUUCGUUUUAGGGAAAAUAUCUCCAUACUUUCUAUUUUUAAGUUUUAUAUCUUAAUAAACUCAAGGUUUCAAAACAUAUCUUGGGUCAUAGAAAUUCUAAGUUUUAUAUCUUCUAUCCCUUUGAGCUAACUUUUAUCCCUUUUAAACCCUUUUUUUUUACUU